GAUGAAUGAUAUAAUAUGAAAAAUGUGUUUCUCUUUUUUUGAACACACCAGAUCAUUAACGGACUGAAACAGAGGAUUCUACGAUUGGAGCAGCAGUGCAAAGAAAAAGAAAAUGCCUUAAGUCAGCUUCAGAGUGACCUCAGAACUACCAACAUGCAGGAAAUGAAGAUCACUGUGGAAACCUACUUUGAAGAGGUUAAAAGAUUGCAAGCACUUUUGGAGUCAUCUGAAAGAAGGUGCAAACAUUGUUAAUUUUACUUGUAAUUUGAUGGUCCCUUCGAGCUUGUGUUUUGAUUUAGUCUUUUUCUCACUCUCUUUUUCUCUGUUCAGUAAUAAGGCAGAGAGCAAAAACAUCAGGCGGCAGAAUAAGACCCUUAGUGCAACGGUUCUGAAACUCACAAACACUGUUCAACACCUGGAGAACGAGAACCAGGAGCUCAAAAAAGAAUUGACACCGGAAGAGAUGAACAUGAUGGACAGCCCUGCAUGCCGAGCCAAGGGUUAUAUGGAUUGGAGUAAACAGAGACUUGUGCGCCGAAUCCUGGAG
This 547-nucleotide long non-coding RNA is filed under the name Sinocyclocheilus anshuiensis. RNAcentral describes it as "lncRNA (ENSSANG00000005731.1)". Lineage: Eukaryota; Metazoa; Chordata; Actinopteri; Cypriniformes; Cyprinidae. The record is from RNAcentral.